UACACUCCUGCGGGAGGCAGCAGUGGGGAAUAUUGGACAAUGGGCGCAAGCCUGAUCCAGCCAUGCCGCGUGAGUGAUGAAGGCCCUAGGGUUGUAAAGCUCUUUUGUGCGGGAAGAUAAUGACGGUACCGCAAGAAUAAGCCCCGGCUAACUUCGUGCCAGCAGCCGCGGUAAUACGAAGGGGGCUAGCGUUGCUCGGAAUCACUGGGCGUAAAGGGUGCGUAGGCGGGUCUUUAAGUCAGGGGUGAAAUCCUGGAGCUCAACUCCAGAACUGCCUUUGAUACUGAAGAUCUUGAGUUCGGGAGAGGUGAGUGGAACUGCGAGUGUAGAGGUGAAAUUCGUAGAUAUUCGCAAGAACACCAGUGGCGAAGGCGGCUCACUGGCCCGAUACUGACGCUGAGGCACGAAAGCGUGGGGAGCAAACAGGAUUAGAAACCCCUGUAGUCCCAUG
This 451-nucleotide ribosomal RNA is filed under the name uncultured organism. RNAcentral describes it as "partial 16S ribosomal RNA". It matches the Rfam family "Bacterial small subunit ribosomal RNA", at positions 332 to 799 of the family's 1533-position model. The record is from RNAcentral.